This 638-nucleotide long non-coding RNA is filed under the name Drosophila guanche. Lineage: Eukaryota; Metazoa; Arthropoda; Insecta; Diptera; Drosophilidae. The record is from RNAcentral.
GCUCAUUCAGUGUUUUGUGUUGAGUCCAAGAGGUUGGGCACAGGAGCAGCCUGCGAUCGCGCCUUGGGGUGUAUCCGGACCAGCAAAAACUUACCUUUUGGAUAACGUACUUUUGGAUGCAGUUGCGCCCAGUCCAUCAAAUGGCAGAUGUCCAGAGGUAAUCCCACCAAUUAAGACCAAUUAUCAGUAAUUAACAUUUGAAUCCUUUCAGAUCCUUCUAAUCUCUUAGAUAUCAGCCAUCGGCGUAGUCAAAAUAAUGCCAGGAAAAUAAUACAUUUCGAUUUCGGUCCAGUCACAUGCCACCACUUCCAUCAGCACCACUUCCAACAAAUCCACUGCACAACACAACAUACAAAACACACACAAAAAACCAUCCUAGGAUGAUCGUUAGGCCAGAACCCAGACGGAGCUAGCUAGCACACUGGCCCACACACCUUUUUGGCCCUCAUCAUGAAACAUUGAAUCGUUGGAAGGUCGCACCACACCCAUCCAUCCAUCCAUCCAUCCAUCCAGCAACACCCCACCAAACGUCGUUUCGGAACUUUGGACAAAAUUCACAUUUGUGUUUAAGUUUAGGUGUAAACAAUAAACAAAAGACAACAAUAGGCUACCGAAAAAAAGUAAAAAAAAAAAUAUCU